AGAGUUUGAUCAUGGCUCAGGAUGAACGCUGGCGGUAUGCCUAACACAUGCAAGUCGAACGAUGUCUUCGGACAUAGUGGCGGACGGGUGAGUAACGCGUGAGAAUCUGCCUCUAGGAUGGGGAUAACGGUUGGAAACGACCGCUAACACCCAAUAUGCCGUAAGGUGAAAAAUUUAUUGCCUGGAGAGGAGCUCGCGUCUGAUUAGCUAGUUGGUGGGGUAAGAGCUCACCAAGGCCUCGAUCAGUAGCUGGUCUGAGAGGAUGAGCAGCCACACUGGGACUGAGACACGGCCCAGACUCCUACGGGAGGCAGCAGUGGGGAAUUUUCCGCAAUGGGCGAAAGCCUGACGGAGCAAUACCGCGUGAGGGAGGAAUGCCUUUGGGUUGUAAACCUCUUUUCUCAGGGAAGAAGAUCUGACGGUACCUGAGGAAUAAGUAUCGGCUAACUCCGUGCCAGCAGCCGCGGUAAUACGGAGGAUGCAAGCGUUAUCCGGAAUCAUUGGGCGUAAAGCGUCCGCAGGUGGUUUCCAAAGUCUGCUGUUAAAGACUGGAGCUCAACUCCGGAACGGCGGUGGAAACUUGGAAACUAGAGUUCGGUAGGGGUAGCAGGAAUUCCCAGUGUAGCGGUGAAAUGCGUAGAUAUUGGGAAGAACAUCGGUGGCGAANGCGUGCUACUGGACCGUAACUGACACUCAGGGACGAAAGCUAGGGGAGCGAAAGGGAUUAGAUACCCCUGUAGUCCUAGCUGUAAACGAUGGAAACUAGGUGUGGCUUGUAUCGACCC
This 785-nucleotide ribosomal RNA is filed under the name uncultured marine microorganism. Its description in RNAcentral is "bacterial SSU rRNA". It matches the Rfam family "Bacterial small subunit ribosomal RNA", at positions 8 to 838 of the family's 1533-position model. The record is from RNAcentral.